GUGGCCCCUACGAAAUGACAAUACUCAAAAAAGUCAAAAGACCAAGCAUAGCGCCGCUUAAAGACAUAAUUAAUGGUAAAAAGAUCUUUUAUGACCUCUCUCUUCUCCUCAAGGCUCCAACCUCAUCUAUAUAAAGAGAUAAACAGGGAUCCUCCUAGUAUGCCUCCUCUCUCUCUCAUAAACACUCACUCUUUUUCGCUUGUUG
Molecule: long non-coding RNA, 205 nt
Filed under: Elaeis guineensis (African oil palm)
Lineage: Eukaryota; Viridiplantae; Streptophyta; Magnoliopsida; Arecales; Arecaceae
Description: long non-coding RNA (EGUI_LNC018130)
Source: RNAcentral